This 77-nucleotide transfer RNA is filed under the name Escherichia coli MS 185-1. RNAcentral's name for it is "tRNA-Val". It matches the Rfam family "tRNA". From Rfam's summary of the family: Transfer RNA (tRNA) molecules are approximately 80 nucleotides in length. Their secondary structure includes four short double-helical elements and three loops (D, anti-codon, and T loops). Lineage: Bacteria; Pseudomonadati; Pseudomonadota; Gammaproteobacteria; Enterobacterales; Enterobacteriaceae. The record is from RNAcentral.
GGGUGAUUAGCUCAGCUGGGAGAGCACCUCCCUUACAAGGAGGGGGUGGCGGGGUUCGAUCCCGUCAUCACCCACCA